RNAcentral lists this ribosomal RNA (520 nucleotides) under uncultured Entrophospora. RNAcentral's name for it is "SSU rRNA". It matches the Rfam family "Eukaryotic small subunit ribosomal RNA", at positions 569 to 1085 of the family's 1831-position model. The record is from RNAcentral. Lineage: Eukaryota; Fungi; Glomeromycota; Glomeromycetes; Entrophosporales; Entrophosporaceae.
AGCAGCCGCGGUAAUUCCAGCUCCAAUAGCGUAUAUUAAAGUUGUUGCAGUUAAAAAGCUCGUAGUCGAAUUUCGGGAUUGACACAUCGGUCGUGCCUUAAGGGGUAUGAACUGGUGUAGUCAAUUUCUCACCUUCUGGAGAACCGCGAUGCCCUUAAUUGGGUGUCACGGGGAACCAGGACCUUUACUUUGAAAAAAUUAGAGUGUUUAAAGCAGGCAUUUUGUUUGAAUACAUUAGCAUGGAAUAAUAAAAUAGGACGGCAUGAUUCUAUUUUGUUGGUUUCUAGGAUCACCGUAAUGAUUAAUAGGGAUAGUUGGGGGCAUUAGUAUUCAAUUGUCAGAGGUGAAAUUCUUGGAUUUAUUGAAGACUAACUACUGCGAAAGCAUUUGCCAAGGAUGUUUUCAUUAAUCAAGAACGAAAGUUAGGGGAUCGAAGACGAUCAGAUACCGUCGUAGUCUUAACCAUAAACUAUGCCGACUAGGAAUCAGACGAUGUUAAUUUUUAAUGACUCGUUUGGCA